UACGGGGGGAGCAAGCGUUGUUCGGAUUUACUGGGCGUAAAGGGCGCGUAGGCGGCCACCGCAAGUCGACUGUGAAAUCUCCGGGCUUAACCCGGAAAGGUCAGCCGAUACUGCGGGGCUAGAGUGCAGAAGGGGCAACUGGAAUUCUCGGUGUAGCGGUGAAAUGCGUAGAUAUCUGGAGGAACACCGGUGGCGAAGGCGGCGUUCUGGACUGUUUCUGACACUGAAUAACGAAAGCCAGGGGAGCAAACGGG
This 254-nucleotide ribosomal RNA is filed under the name uncultured bacterium. RNAcentral describes it as "partial 16S ribosomal RNA". It matches the Rfam family "Bacterial small subunit ribosomal RNA", at positions 524 to 776 of the family's 1533-position model. The record is from RNAcentral.